UACGUAGGGGGGCAAGCGUUGUCCGGAAUCAUUGGGCGUAAAGAGCGUGUAGGCGGCUCGAUAAGUCCGCUCUGAAAGCCCGGGGCUCAACCCCGGGAGGCGGGCGGAUACUGUCGAGCUAGAGUCCGGAAGAGGCGAGUGGAAUUCCUGGUGUAGCGGUGAAAUGCGCAGAUAUCAGGAGGAACACCAAUGGCGAAGGCAGCUCGCUGGACGGUACUGACGCUGAGACGCGAAGCGUGGAGCAACAGG
Molecule: ribosomal RNA, 249 nt
Filed under: uncultured bacterium
Lineage: Bacteria
Description: partial 16S ribosomal RNA
Rfam family: Bacterial small subunit ribosomal RNA
Source: RNAcentral